RNAcentral lists this ribosomal RNA (496 nucleotides) under uncultured bacterium. Its description in RNAcentral is "partial 16S ribosomal RNA". It matches the Rfam family "Bacterial small subunit ribosomal RNA", at positions 28 to 507 of the family's 1533-position model. The record is from RNAcentral.
GACGAACGCUGGCGGCGUGCCUAAUACAUGCAAGUUGAGCGCUGAAGGUUGGUCCUUGUCCCAACUGGAUGAGCAGUGAACGGGUGAGUAACGCGUGGGGAAUCUGCCUUUGAGCGGGGGACAACAUUUGGAAACGAAUGCUAAUACCGCAUAAAAACUUUAAACACAAGUUUUAAGUUUGAAAGAUGCCAUUGCAUCACUCAAAGAUGAUCCCGCGUUGUAUUAGCUAGUUGGUGGGGUAAAGGCUCACCAAGGCGAUGAUCCGUAGCCGACUUGAAAGGAGGUCGGCCACAAUGGGACUGAGACACCGCCCAAACUUCUAAGGGGAGCAGCAGUAGGGAAUCUUCGGCAAAUGAGCGAAGCCUGGCCGAGCAACGGCGGCGUAGGGGAGGAGGGUUUCGGAGCGUAAAACUCUGUUGGUAGGGAAGGACGUUGGUGAGAGUGGAAAGCUCAUCAAGUGACGGUAACUACCCAGAAAGCGACGGCUAACUACGUG